AGUUAAGGGUUGAGGCUCAUCUUAUUUAAUAUUCAGUUGUUCCACCAAUAACUUCCCAGCAUGUGGGCUCAGCAGUUGCAGCAUGCAGGCCUUAGAGCACGUGGGCUUCAGUAGUUGCGGCUCGCUGGCUCUAGAGGGUAGGCUCAGUAGUUGUGGUGCAUGGGCUUAGCUGCUCUGUGGCAUGUGGUAUCUUCCCAGACCAGGAAUCGAUCCCAUGUCUCCUGCACUGGCAGGCAGAUUCUUAACCACUGAGCCACGAGGCAAUUCCCAUAAACUUUAAUAUAUUUUAAUCAACCAGUCUUUGUUCUUUUUUUUUUUAAGCCUGAGAAUUUUGGCAGGGACUGCAUAACUAUUAAUCAAUAUGGGGAGAAGAUACCUUAAACAAUAACUGAGUUUUCCAAUUCAUGAAUAUACAUCUUUUUAUUUAGGUUUAAUUAAUUAUUUUUGGCU
Non-coding RNA from Kogia breviceps (pygmy sperm whale), 450 nucleotides. Lineage: Eukaryota; Metazoa; Chordata; Mammalia; Artiodactyla; Physeteridae. The record is from RefSeq and is a predicted model, not a curated record.